This 284-nucleotide long non-coding RNA is filed under the name Cricetulus griseus (Chinese hamster). RNAcentral's name for it is "lncRNA (ENSCGRG00015024955.2)". Lineage: Eukaryota; Metazoa; Chordata; Mammalia; Rodentia; Cricetidae. The record is from RNAcentral.
ACUUCCCCCAUCAGGUUCCAUUGCCAGAGGCCCAAUAGACUGCUCAAGCCCUGAAACUGACACUCACAUUCCGGGGGCCUGGUUCAGUCUUAUGUUGUUUCCCCAGACUCCCAGGCUGCUGCCUGUGCUAUUGGUUGCCUCCUAGAACUUGCAUAGAAGACCCUGCUGCUGAAGACACCACACCCUUCAGAUACAGUACUUGAAGGAAUCCAGCUGAAACCUGGAGUGCAUGUUUAUUUAUGAUUUUCUUCAACAAAUAGUAUUAAAUAAAAAGCAAGUUUGCA